Callithrix jacchus (white-tufted-ear marmoset) is the source of this 6959-nucleotide non-coding RNA. Lineage: Eukaryota; Metazoa; Chordata; Mammalia; Primates; Cebidae. The record is from RefSeq and is a predicted model, not a curated record.
GCCUUGGAGUCCACCACAAAUGAAAAACAACACAUCUUUUUGUUUCAUUUUGUUAGUGACAAAAUGGAACCAGAUUGAACUGGUUCUGCAGUGACACAAGGAUACAUGACCCGCUCAGUCCCUGGCCGUGCUGGACAAGGAGAUGGAGGAAGCAGAGAGAGUGAGUGCCUGCACUUUACCCUUCCACAGAAGGGCAGAUUUUUUUUUUUUUUUUUCCAGACAGUUUCGCUCUUGUUGCCCAGGCUGGAGUGAUCUCGGUUCACUGCAACGUCCGCCUCCUGGGUUCAAGCGAUUCUCCAGCUUAGCCUCCUGAGUAGCUGCGAUAACAGGAAGUGGCUAAGAAGAGAUCCAUGAGGAUUAACAUUCAGUGCUCAAUUCCUGAAGGAAACAGGGAGUGAAGGGCCGUGGAAGAGAACGGAGCUGCCACGAACGUGCUCCUGGCUGUUUGAAAAGAUCCAGCGCAGCUUCAACUUCAAAAAUAACUCCAUUCACCAUGGUUGCAGUUGGGCCUGGGGAAUUUCCUACAAUCAAAAGCAGCUGCUUCACCUCACGUAGCCAUUAGGCUGAGCACAGCAGGCUUGUUGAGGGAUCUUAGAGCCUGCAAGGCCCUGCUUAGAGUGGCCACGUUUUCCAGCCUGCAGUAGAUCAGUGAGUGUUUACCUUUGUGUUCGGAAUGCUCAUGAGUCCUUUGGGGCAAAGACUGAGUCAUUAAUCAGAGCUUUCUAUGAACGUAUUGCUGCCCAAGCCUCUGUGAAUGUGAACAUGGCCGUGUCCCCCCAGGUGACGCUGAAAGAGAGUGAAGCACGUGUGCUCCAUGAGACUGCCACAGCCACCCCUCUCAUUCACGUUCCAUUCAGCUCCGAGACUAAGUUUAAAUCAUUUUUAUUUGUUGUGAAAAGAGCAUGCACACAGCUGGCAGUGUUGACUCACGCCUGUAAUCUCAGCACUUUGGGAGGCUGAGGCCGGUGGAUCACCUGAGGUUGGGAGUUCGAGACCAGCCUGACCAACAUGGAGAAACCCUGUCUCUACUAAAAAUACAAAAUUAGCCAGGUGUGGUGGCUUGCACCCGUAAUCCCAGCUACUCGGGAGGCUGACGCAGGAGACUCGCUUGGACCUGGGAGGUGGAGGUUGCGGUGAGCUGAGAUUGUGCCAUUGCAUUCCAGCCUAAGCAACAAGAUUGAAAUUCCAUCUCGAAAAAAAAAAAAAAAAGAGCAUGCACACAAAAUUUCAAAUGUUACCGAAUGGAUAUCAGGUGAGAGACAGAAGUUUCCCUUUCUCAUGCUCACAUUCCCAGUCCAAUCCUCUCUGAGGUUACAUGCUCUGAUUGUGCCAGGCGUCGUUCUAGAAUGUCUGAGCUUAUGCAAAUAAGUAUGCAUGAUGUAAAUUAUGUAAAUAUUUAAUGUGUGUGUGCAUGUAUGUAAAUGUUAGCAUAUACAUAUACCUAUUCAUACAUACAGAUAUGCAUUCAGAAAUAGACAUAUAUAUAUAUAUAUAUAUAUAUAUAUAUAUAUAUAUAUAUAUAUAUAAAUAAUCUAGUGCAGCUUUGAGCAAGCUGAGCCCUGAGGCUCUUCUGAGGGGGAGGCCUUGGCACUGUUUCUGACUUUCUCUGUUUCUCCGCAGUUAGACUAACUGGAGCCUCCUCCAGUAUCUUGAGAAGAUAUAAGGCUCCUCUGAAGCACAGGAGGAAAAGGGUGAUCCCAAAGUCAUGUUUGUGACAUGGGCUGGCCCCUGCCUGAUGGUCUCAUGCCUCCCCUGCUGCGCUCCUCCAGACUUUGGAGGCAUGGUGGUUUGACCCCAGAGUGAGACUCUGAGGCAGAAUGGGCAAGGGAGUCGGGGAAGCCCACAGGCAGAGGUGUUCCUCCAUAAACUUAGGACUAUCCCAAUAGCUUGGUCCGUUGGCCACUGCCAGCUGGUUCCUUCUAGGGAUGCAGACACAAUUGUCCAAUAUUCUCUAGGAAAUGAACUUCUCUCUGCCUUUGGAAAUUGCAGCUGCUGUACCCAGAAGCCAACCAGGUGUCACAGAGUGAGAAAGUGGGGCUGGGGCUGGAUAGGAGGAAAGGAAGCGCAUCUCCCAGCACUCCCAGGAGAAUUGCCCUCCAACCUGGGCAACAGAGCGAGACUCCAUCUCAAAAAAAAAAAAAAAAGAAAGGAAGUCUUCAAAAUACAAUUCCCCUUUUCACUCCCUGAGUCAUGUCAACACAGUGUUAAGACUGAGGGGCCCUUGGGUUUGAAUCCUUGCUCUAUCUUGCUCCAGACAACAGACACGGGCAAAUUACCCCAGCUCUCCGGUGAACACCCAGGGCCCCACAUUCAAUAUGGCCAUGUUAAUAUCCACAUUUUACAAUUGCUAUAACAGUUAAAUGCAAUAAUGCAGGGCAGGGGGCCCACAUACAAUACUAUGUUUCACUGAAACUAGGCUGUGCUAUUGGAAAAACACCUCCUAAUUUUGGAGGUGUUCAAAUAUGAAAAAAUAGUGUCUUUGAAAUCCAUGAAAUACAGCACGAGCUUCAUAAGUUUAAAAUGUGAGGUCAUUAUUUCAUCCACACACAGCCUCUCUUUUUUCUAAAGAACGAGUUGUGGUGGAUUUAAAUGUAGGCCCAUGACUUCUUUUUUACUCCCUCUGAACGGUGGAAGCCGAUUCCCCUUGCCUGAGUCCGGGCUGUGUUUGGAGACACUUGUAAAGAAUGGACUCUGGCUGAGGUGGAGGCGUUUGACUUUGAGGACUAGGUCCUAAGAAGGCAUUGUGCAGUGGUUUGUAGUUCUCCUUGAAGAAGUCCUUUAUAUUCUUUGUUAGUUGUAUUCUAGGUAUUUUAUUCUCUUUGUAGCGACUGUGAAUGGGAGUUUGCUCAUGAUUUGGCUCUCUGUUAGUCUGUUACUGGUGUAUAAGAAUGUUGUGAUUUUUGCACACUGAUUUUGUAUCAUGAGACUUUGCUGAUGGCUUCCAUCUUGACUGCUCUUUCUUUCCGAGAGCUGACUCGAAGGGGAGCCAGCUGCCACACCAGGAGCGGCUCCGCAGAGACACCCACACGGCAAGGGACUGAGAGCUGUGUGACUGAGUGAACUUGUUACCAAAACACCAAGGGUUUGGUCCAGGUCCUACUGCUCACCACACUAAAAGCUCAUCACUGAGAUGACAAGUAUCGCCAUGGAAGGAUUUAAUCAGGUGCUGUGGUGGAGGAGAUAGGCGCUCCCUCUCAAAUCCAUCUCCCUGACCUAUAUGAAACAAUGUGUAGGAAAACAGGAACUAGGGAGGGGCCGGAAGCAAUCACAUGAAUGAGGGGCCUGGUACCUCCUUGUCUGGAUGUGGUGGUCUGCUGACUUUCAAUUUUUUGGUACUUUUCUUGAGGGGCCUGAAGUUAGUUUCGUGAGGAAGGAACUCAAGUAAAACAAAUGUAAAUUUCAAGCCAGAAGGGUCAAUUUCUGUCUUUAUCCCCCCCCCCCCCCCCCCCCGCAAAAAAACGGUUUGUGGGACUAUUGGGUCAGUUUCAAACUUGGAAGCAAUUCUCCAGCCCCAGUUGAGGCUUUAGAGGAAGUCGGUGCCAGCUCACAACUUGCCUGCAGCCUCUGGAGAGAACUGGCCUACUGCAUGGCCAGUUGCAUGAGAGUAUAAGUAUAGCACACACGAUAUGUACAGUAAUAAUACUUGAUAGUGAUAAUAAAAUGACUAUUACUGGUUUAUGUAUUUAUUAUACGUUUUUGUUUGAUUCUCGUCCUGGCUGGAGUGCAGUGGUGAGCUGGAACCACCCAGCUAAGCCUGGUGUGAGUUUCUGCCCCACACAAACAGUGAGAUAAUAUUUUGUUGCUUUAAGCUCCUAAAUGACAGAGGCACUUAAUUGUCGUGAGGCAAUCUAUAACUGAUAUACUAGUCUACAUGAAAAAUCUCAGCCAGGCGCGGUGGCUCACGCCUAUAAUCCCAGCACUUUGGGAGGCCGAGGCGGGUGGAUCAUGAGGUCAAGAGAUCAAGACCAUCCUGGUCAACAUGGUUAAACCCCGUCUCUACUAAAAAUGCAAGGACUGCAACUAUAAUGGUGAUCCCAUAAUGGGGACCAUUAUUGGGACCAUUAUGAUGGAGCUGAAUUAUUAUCGAGCUUAUAACGGGGCUGAAAAAAUUCCUAUCACCCAGUGAAGAGUAGCUAUUGUAACACUGUAGCACACUGCAUUACUCAGGUGCUUCUGGGGAUGUGGUGUGAGCAAAGCAACUGCAGUCAGUUGCAUUAAAGUAUAGCACCCGAGAUGAUGUACAGUACAUAAUACUUGAUAGUGAUGAUAAAUGACUAUGUUACUAGUUUAUGUAUGUAUUAUACCUUUUGUUUCCUUUUUUUUUUUUUGAGAUAAAGUUUGAUUCUGUCACCCUGACUAGAGUGCAGUGGUGCGAUCUUGGCUCAUUGUAAACUCUGCCUCCCAGGUUCAAGACAUCCUCCCACCUCAGCCUCCUGAGUAGCUGCAAUCAUAGGUGCAUGCCAGGGCUAAUUUUUGUGUUUUGGGUAGAGAUGGGGUUUUGCCAUGUUGCACAGGUUGAUCUUGAACUUGUAAGCUUCAGUGAUCUGCCUGCCUCAGCCUCCCAAAGUGCUGGGAUUACCUGCACCCAGCCUAUAUUAUACUUUUUAUUAUUUCAUAGUUUACUGCUUAUAAAAAAGAAGUUAAGCCAUCUGGACCUGGACUUUUUUUGGUUGGUAGGCUAGUAAUUGCUGCCUCAACUUCAGCCCUUGUUAUUGGCCUAUUCAGGGUUUCAACUUCUUCCUGGUUUAGUCUUGGGAGGGUGCAAGUGUCCAGGAAUUUAUCUAUUUCUUCCAGAUUUACUGGUUUAUGUGCAUAGAGUUGUUUGUAGUAAUCUCUGAUGGUAGUUUGUAUUUCUGUGGAAUCGGUGGUGAUAUCCCCAAUUCCAGCAAAUGAAAAAGAACAGAAAUUGGAAGCAUUGCAAUAAAUAUAGUUUUUUAUUGCAUCUAUUUGAUUCUUCUCUCUUUUCUUUUUUAUUAAUCUGGCUAGUGGUCUGUCUGUUUUGUUGAUCUUUUAAAAAAAACAGCUCCUGGAUUUAUUGAUUUUUUGAAGGCUUUUUUUGUGUGUCUCUAUCUCCUUCAGUCCUCCUCUGAUCUUAGUUAUUUCUUGUCUUCUGCUAGUUUUUGAGUUUUUUUGAUCUUGCUCCUCUGGCUCUUUCAGUUCUGAUGAUAGGGUGUUGAUUUUAGAUCAUUCCUAGCUUCUCAUGUGCACAUUUACUGCUAUAAUUCCCUCUAGACACUGCUUUAAAUGUGUCCCAGAGAUUCUGGUAUAUUGUAUCUUUGUUCUCAUUGGUUUCAAAGAACAUCUAUUUCUGCCUUCAUUUCAUUGUUUAUCCAGUCAUCAUUGAGGAGCAAGUUGCUCAGUUUCCAUGUAGUUGUGCGAUUUUGAGUGAGUUUCUUAAUCACAAUUUCGAAUUUGAUUGCACUGCGGUCUGAGAGACUGUUUGUUAUGAUUUCCGUUCUUUUGCAUUUGCUGAGGAGAGAUUUACUUCCAAUUAUGUGGUCAGUUUUAGAGUAAGUGCAAUGUGGUGCUGAGAAAAAUGGAUAUUCUGUGGAUUUGGGGUGGAGAGUUCUGUAGAUGUCUCUUGGGUCUGCUUGGUCCAGAUCUGUGUUCAAGUCCUGGAUAUCCUUGUUGAUUUUAUGUUUCAUUGAUCUGUCUAAUAUUGAUAGUGGAGUGUUAAAGUCUCCCACUAUUAUUGUGUGGGAGUCUAAGUCUCUUUGUAGGUAGUAAAGAACUUACUUGCUUUAUGUAUCUGGGUGCUCCUGUAUUGGGUGCAUAUAUAUUUAGAAUACUUAGCUCUUCUUGUUGCAGUGAUCCAUUUACCAUUAUGUAAUGCCCUUCUUGGUCUCUUUUGAUCUUUGUUGGUUUAAAGUCUAUUUUAGCGGAGACUAGGAUUGCAACCCCUGCCUUUUUUUGCUCUCCAUUUGCUCAGGGCCGAAUUCUACCAGAUGUACAAAGAGGAGCUGGUAUCAUUCCUUCUGAAACUAUUCCAAACAAUACAAAAAGAGGGAAUCCUUCCUAACUCAUUUUAUGAGACCAACAUCAUCCUGUUACCAAAACCUGGCAGAGACUCAACUAAAAAAGAAAACUUCAGGCCAAUAUCCAUGAUGAACAUAGAUGCAGAAAUCUUCAGUAAAAUAUUGGCAAACUGAAUGCAACAGCACAUUAAAAGCUUAUCCAUCAUGAUAAGUAGGUUUCAUUCCAGGGAUGCAAGGCUGGUUCAACAUACACAAGUCUAUAAACGUAAUCCAUCACAGAAACAGAACCAAAGACAAAACCACAUGAUUAUCUCAAAAAAGGCCUUUGACAAAAUUCAACAGCCAUUUACGCUAAAAACCCUCAAUAAACUAGGUAUCAGUGGAAUGUAUCUUGAAAUAAUAAAAGCUGUUUAUGACAAACCCACAACAAAUAUCAUACUGAACAGGCAAAAACUGGAAGCAUUCCCUUUGAAAUCUGACACUAGACAAGGAUGCCCUCUCUUACCAGUCCUAUUCAGUAUAGUAUUGGAAGUUCUAGUCAGAGCAAUUAGACAAGAAAAAGAAAUAAAGGAUAUUCAAUUAGGAAAGGAGGAAGACAAAUUGUCCCUAUUUGCAGAGGACAUGAUUGUAUAUUUAGAAGACCCCAUCAUCUCAGCCCCAAAUCUCCUUAAAUUGAUAAGCAACUUCAGCAAAUUCUCAGGAUACAAAAUCAACGUGUAGAAAUCACAAGCAUUCCUGUACACCAAUAACAGACAAACAGAGAGUCAAAUAAGAAUGAACUGCCAUUCACAACUGCUACAAAGAGAAUAAAAUACCUAGGAAUACAACUAACAAGGGAUGUAAAGGACGUUUUCAAGGAGAACUACAAACCACUGCUCAAGGAAAUAAGAGAGGAUACAAACAGAUGGAAAAACAUUCCUUACUCAUAGGAAGAAUCAACAUUGUGAAAAUGGCCAUACUGCCCAAAGUAAUUUAUAGAUUCAA